AGAAACGUUAAUUUUAAUAAGGUACUUUGGUUUACUCGUUCAUGAUUCAAUGCUUAAAAUCAAUUCGAGGAUAAACACGAGAUUUUUAAAAUAUCUGCCAGGUCAUCAUAUAAUAAAUGGACUAUUUGUUUAUGCUAUAAAACAUACAUUUCAGAUCAAUAAAAUAUAUUACCUCGUAAAAUGAGGUAGUACAAUGACAACGUGCCAAUAAUGGUACUCAUAAAUAGUGCUGUUUGUUAUUUCCAACAACAAUGAUAAUUAUUGAUUGGUCUUAUAUAAAUGAGGAUGAAUUGCCCUCACUGGACAAUAUUCAACUUUGGAAGAGAAAAAUAUUUGUUGAAUUUCGACCUUACGCAUGUGAAUACGAAAGUUUUGGUCACUCUUACUCAUUGAGUAAGGCCAUUGUUCAAUUUCCCAUUUGCGAAAAGCGCUCAAAAAUCGGUUAUUGUACAAGUUCUGAUUGUAAACAUUACAGUGUUCAAUGACAAAAUGGAAAUUCUUUAUAUGACGGCAGUGUUAAGAGUUCAACCAAAAGAAAAAUACACAUUUCCGUAAAACAAAUACCAUUAACCAUUGAUUAGAAAUGACACGAUGUAGUGCACGCGGCACAUUUGGUCCCUUUCAGUUUGGCCGUGAAGUGAAAAACAGCACUUGAAGACUUCGUGCGUUCAUAGCGACUUGUCAAUACAACUCGAAAUUAUAAUAAUAAUGACAGUAAUCGA
Long non-coding RNA from Daktulosphaira vitifoliae (grape phylloxera), 722 nucleotides. RefSeq lists it as uncharacterized. The record is from RefSeq and is a predicted model, not a curated record. Lineage: Eukaryota; Metazoa; Arthropoda; Insecta; Hemiptera; Phylloxeridae. The transcript has 3 exons.